RNAcentral lists this ribosomal RNA (253 nucleotides) under uncultured bacterium. Its description in RNAcentral is "partial 16S ribosomal RNA". It matches the Rfam family "Bacterial small subunit ribosomal RNA", at positions 524 to 776 of the family's 1533-position model. The record is from RNAcentral.
UACGAAGGGGGCGAGCGUUGUUCGGAGUUACUGGGCGUAAAGGGCGCGUAGGCGGCGAUCCAAGUUAGGCGUGAAAGCCCCGGGCUUAACCUGGGAAUUGCGCUUAAGACUGGACUGCUUGAGUGCGGGAGAGGUGAGUGGAACUUCUGGUGGAGCGGUGAAAUGCGUAGAUAUCAGAAGGAACACCGGUGGCGAAAGCGACUCUCUGGCUCGUAUCUGACGCUGAGGCGCGAAAGCUUGGGUAGCAAACGGG